Molecule: long non-coding RNA, 21173 nt
Filed under: Homo sapiens (human)
Lineage: Eukaryota; Metazoa; Chordata; Mammalia; Primates; Hominidae
Description: LHRI_LNC1842.12
Rfam family: Nuclear enriched abundant transcript 1 conserved region 3 (bases 761-919)
Source: RNAcentral
UGUGUGGAAGGAGGAAGGCAGGGAGAGGUAGAAGGGGUGGAGGAGUCAGGAGGAAUAGGCCGCAGCAGCCCUGGAAAUGAUCAGGAAGGCAGGCAACCAAGGGCUGUGAACCCGCCUGGGGAUGAGGCCUGGUCUUGUGGAACUGAACUUAGCUCGACGGGGCUGACCGCUCUGGCCCAGGGUGGUAUGUAAUUUUCGCUCGGCCUGGGACGGGGCCCAGGCCGGGCCCAGCCUGGUGGAGCGUCCAGGUCUGGGUGCGAAGCCAGGCCCCUGGGCGGAGGUGAGGGGUGGUCUGAGGAGUGAUGUGGAGUUAAGGCGCCAUCCUCACCGGUGACUGGUGCGGCACCUAGCAUGUUUGACAGGCGGGGACUGCGAGGCACGCUGCUCGGGUGUUGGGGACAACAUUGACCAACGCUUUAUUUUCCAGGUGGCAGUGCUCCUUUUGGACUUUUCUCUAGGUUUGGCGCUAAACUCUUCUUGUGAGCUCACUCCACCCCUUCUUCCUCCCUUUAACUUAUCCAUUCACUUAAAACAUUACCUGGUCAUCUGGUAAGCCCGGGACAGUAAGCCGAGUGGCUGUUGGAGUCGGUAUUGUUGGUAAUGGUGGAGGAAGAGAGGCCUUCCCGCUGAGGCUGGGGUGGGGCGGAUCGGUGUUGCUUGCCUGCAGAGAGGGUGGGGAGUGAAUGUGCACCCUUGGGUGGGCCUGCAGCCAUCCAGCUGAAAGUUACAAAAAUGCUUCAUGGACCGUGGUUUGUUACUAUAGUGUUCCUCAUGGCGAGCAGAUGGAACCGGGAGACAUGGAGUCCCUGGCCAGUGUGAGUCCUAGCAUUGCAGGAGGGGAGACCCUGGAGGAGAGAGCCCGCCUCAAUUGAUGCCUGCAGAUUGAAUUUCCAGAGGCUUAGGAGGAGGAAGUUCUCCAAUGUUCUGUUUCCAGGCCUUGCUCAGGAAGCCCUGUAUUCAGGAGGCUACCAUUUAAAGUUUGCAGAUGAGCUUAUGGGGGGCAAUCUUAAAAAGUCCACAGCAGAUGCAUCCGGCUCGAGGGGCCAUCAGCUUUGAAUAAAUGCUUGUUCCAGAGCCCAUGAAUGCCAGCAGGCACCCCUCCUUUCCUGGGGUAAAGGUUUUCAGAUGCUGCAUCUUCUAAAUUGAGCCUCCGGUCAUACUAGUUUUGUGCUUGGAACCUUGCUUCAAGAAGAUCCCUAAGCUGUAGAACAUUUUAACGUUGAUGCCACAACGCAGAUUGAUGCCUUGUAGAUGGAGCUUGCAGAUGGAGCCCCGUGACCUCUCACCUACCCACCUGUUUGCCUGCCUUCUUGUGCGUUUCUCGGAGAAGUUCUUAGCCUGAUGAAAUAACUUGGGGCGUUGAAGAGCUGUUUAAUUUUAAAUGCCUUAGACUGGGGAUAUAUUAGAGGAAGCAGAUUGUCAAAUUAAGGGUGUCAUUGUGUUGUGCUAAACGCUGGGAGGGUACAAGUUGGUCAUUCCUAAAUCUGUGUGUGAGAAAUGGCAGGUCUAGUUUGGGCAUUGUGAUUGCAUUGCAGAUUACUAGGAGAAGGGAAUGGUGGGUACACCGGUAGUGCUCUUUUGUUCUUGCUUCGUUUUUUUAAACUUGAACUUUACUUCGUUAGAUUUCAUAAUACUUUCUUGGCAUUCUAGUAAGAGGACCCUGAGGUGGGAGUUGUGGGGGACGGGGAGAAGGGGACAGCUUGGCACCGGUCCCGUGGGCGUUGCAGUGUGGGGGAUGGGGGUAUGCAGCUUGGCACUGGUACUGGGAGGGAUGAGGGUGAAGAAGGGGAGAGGGUUGGUUAGAGAUACAGUGUGGGUGGUGGGGGUGGUAGGAAAUGCAGGUUGAAGGGAAUUCUCUGGGGCUUUGGGGAAUUUAGUGCGUGGGUGAGCCAAGAAAAUACUAAUUAAUAAUAGUAAGUUGUUAGUGUUGGUUAAGUUGUUGCUUGGAAGUGAGAAGUUGCUUAGAAACUUUCCAAAGUGCUUAGAACUUUAAGUGCAAACAGACAAACUAACAAACAAAAAUUGUUUUGCUUUGCUACAAGGUGGGGAAGACUGAAGAAGUGUUAACUGAAAACAGGUGACACAGAGUCACCAGUUUUCCGAGAACCAAAGGGAGGGGUGUGUGAUGCCAUCUCACAGGCAGGGGAAAUGUCUUUACCAGCUUCCUCCUGGUGGCCAAGACAGCCUGUUUCAGAGGGUUGUUUUGUUUGGGGUGUGGGUGUUAUCAAGUGAAUUAGUCACUUGAAAGAUGGGCGUCAGACUUGCAUACGCAGCAGAUCAGCAUCCUUCGCUGCCCCUUAGCAACUUAGGUGGUUGAUUUGAAACUGUGAAGGUGUGAUUUUUUCAGGAGCUGGAAGUCUUAGAAAAGCCUUGUAAAUGCCUAUAUUGUGGGCUUUUAACGUAUUUAAGGGACCACUUAAGACGAGAUUAGAUGGGCUCUUCUGGAUUUGUUCCUCAUUUGUCACAGGUGUCUUGUGAUUGAAAAUCAUGAGCGAAGUGAAAUUGCAUUGAAUUUCAAGGGAAUUUAGUAUGUAAAUCGUGCCUUAGAAACACAUCUGUUGUCUUUUCUGUGUUUGGUCGAUAUUAAUAAUGGCAAAAUUUUUGCCUAUCUAGUAUCUUCAAAUUGUAGUCUUUGUAACAACCAAAUAACCUUUUGUGGUCACUGUAAAAUUAAUAUUUGGUAGACAGAAUCCAUGUACCUUUGCUAAGGUUAGAAUGAAUAAUUUAUUGUAUUUUUAAUUUGAAUGUUUGUGCUUUUUAAAUGAGCCAAGACUAGAGGGGAAACUAUCACCUAAAAUCAGUUUGGAAAACAAGACCUAAAAAGGGAAGGGGAUGGGGAUUGUGGGGAGAGAGUGGGCGAGGUGCCUUUACUACAUGUGUGAUCUGAAAACCCUGCUUGGUUCUGAGCUGCGUCUAUUGAAUUGGUAAAGUAAUACCAAUGGCUUUUUAUCAUUUCCUUCUUCCCUUUAAGUUUCACUUGAAAUUUUAAAAAUCAUGGUUAUUUUUAUCGUUGGGAUCUUUCUGUCUUCUGGGUUCCAUUUUUUAAAUGUUUAAAAAUAUGUUGACAUGGUAGUUCAGUUCUUAACCAAUGACUUGGGGAUGAUGCAAACAAUUACUGUCGUUGGGAUUUAGAGUGUAUUAGUCACGCAUGUAUGGGGAAGUAGUCUCGGGUAUGCUGUUGUGAAAUUGAAACUGUAAAAGUAGAUGGUUGAAAGUACUGGUAUGUUGCUCUGUAUGGUAAGAACUAAUUCUGUUACGUCAUGUACAUAAUUACUAAUCACUUUUCUUCCCCUUUACAGCACAAAUAAAGUUUGAGUUCUAAACUCAUUAGAAUUGUUGUAUUGCUAUGUUACAUUUCUCGACCCCUAUCACAUUGCCUUCAUAACGACUUUGGAUGUAUCUUCAUAUUGUAGAUUUAGGUCUAGAUUUGCUAGCUCCAAGUAAUUAAGGCCAUGUAGGAGAGCAUGGUAACCACAGAUAGAACUGGUAUUAUCCCAAGUGGUCUGCAGACUGCUGAGUGGGGAUGGGAUCUGCUCUCUGUUGAGAGUUGGUAAUCAUUGGUUUGAAAUGUGAUGAAACCACUCAAGCCAAUGAAGGUGGGUGUGUAGGUGGGGAGUACUUUGCCAUAAUAUUUUAAAACAUUACCUGGUUAGAGUUCUAAGUGGUACUUAUUUUUGUUUGGUUAGGGGAAAGCCUGAAUAAAAACAGAAAUGGACACAUAAUAUGCAUAUUCCAUAGUCUUUGGGAGGCUGGAAUGUGCCUGGGAUUUGGGUCUAAGUGUAUGCGUAAUUCUUACCUCACUAAAGAAUUUGCCUUGUUUUUUUCCUUUUGGUGAGUGACUAAAACGUCUGGGCUUCCCUGUGUGCGUGCUACAGUAAGCAAGCAGAGGCUGUGCAAAGGUGUGAGCAGGAUCACGUGGAAUCUGGAGGAUACAUCUUGGCUUGCAAACUGCCUCUGUCUCCUGGGUGGGACUGUUCUGUCCUUGCACUGCUGUUCUGUGUUACCUCUUGGGGUGUAAGGUUUUGCUUACAGGAGACAAACUUUGGGCGUAGAAUGGAAGCCACUGCCAGCCUCUGUGCUGAGAAGGAAGGUGCUUGUUUCAAAGGGAGCAGCAAGGGAGGCUUGUUCUACUCACCUGGGCCUGUUUGCCUGAGAAGGGGAGAUAAGGGCUGAACUGGGACUAGCCAGGGGGACCAACACAAAUGGUGGGGGAUCAUGACCUGAAGGAUUCUUUCCUUCCCAUGAGCUGCAGGGCUGGUUGCCGUCCUUGCAACUGUGUCUUAUUUGCCUGUGCCGUUAUAUCUUGGUGACCCCUCCACGUGUACACUACUGACAAACGGGUGGAGUGCUGGGGAGAAGUCACUGUGCCGCCCACCUAGUAAACCUUCUGUCUGUGCUCAUGGCAUCUCCAAGAUGGGGCACUGCUGUGUGCAGAAUCCAGGGUCCUCUUUCUGCUUGCAACUCCUUUCCCUGGAUGCCCCAGAAACAAUCCAGGCCUCCUUUCCUAUCUUACCCCUUUGCUUUGCUUUUUACCCCAGCACCUCUAUAACCGCCUUCUCUUCUUUUCAGAACUCCUUGUUUCUCGUCCUGUUUUUUAUGAUUACAAAACUCUUGCUUCCACCCUGGAAGAUAACUGCUAUAGAUGCCUGUAUGUAAAUGGUGCUGUCUCCAGCAACUGGCAUGCUGAAGAAGAAUUGAUUCACGGGGUAUAAAUGUUGGGGAUUGGAAGUGGGGAUGAAAUGGCACUUGUUGAUACAGGAGCAGAGAGGUGAGGCCGACUGCUGAAGACAGCUCGCCACCCUCCUUGCCUCCACUCCAAUCCAGGGGCUGGGGCCACAUUCUUUGCCUUCAUUUAUCCUCAGAUCAGGUGAGAUCGACAGGAGGUGUUGAUGGCAGUGCCAGCAAUUAUUGCUAAUCCGUUUGCAUCCUUAUGCAUAGAUCUGAAUUCAGACUUUGUGAAUUUCCAGAGGUGUGGGUAAUAUAAUAGAAUUCAGUGAGUGGGCAUGGCUGAUCUUGUGCAAAUUAAAAGUUAUGGGGCAUAAGAAUAGCAAAAGUUGAACUUCUUUUAAAAAGGAAAGUACCCUGAGAGCCAGUAUUGGUUGAGGCUCUUCAGUAUGCCCAGGUUGGCAGCACUGAGAACCGCAGGAACGGCCUGUUGUUACAAAAAGGAGAUUGACUCAGCUGCCCUUGGUGCAUCUGACUGACUAUGACUGCUGAGAGAUUCCAAGGACCCUUAAUGCCAGGGCUAACCUCUCCAUGUGCAGUGAGACCUCUGGAGGAAGUGUCAUCCUCUGGCUUUGUGUGGUACUCAUUAUGGUGCAGUGCGGGCAUGAAAUGAAGACACCCAAAUAGGCUUACAGAUACGAUAUGUUUUAAAUGUUCGUAUUUAACAAAAACAUACUGACACUGUUUGGAAAUGGCAACAGGAAGAUAGCAAAAUGAAUACUAACAUUACGAAAAGAUGAACAGGUACAUGUUCCAAGGCAGGUGGCUGUGAACUUCCUCUGAGUGAAGGCAUCCCCUCCAGCACCUUUCAGCCUGCUAGUUAGGACGACCCGCCGCCACCCUCCAGGACCUCCAGCCCUGCACUGCCUUUCCUCUCUUUUAAAUAAUUCUUCAUUGAGUUCUAAUAUGUAAAAAAAAAAAGUUUACUGUAAAGUUUGCAAAUAAGGAAAUUUUUUUUAAAAGUCCUCAGUAAUCUUACCAGUAACAAUUGUUAUGGGCACAUUUGCUUUUGGAAGAUUUCUUUUGUAUGCAUGGGAUAAGUACAUUUUUAAACAAAAAUGGGAUUAUGCCAUAAAUUCUAUUUUGUGACUUUAAUAUAUAGUGAACACCUUUUUUAAUGAUGACAGGAUGUUCCCUUGCAUGGCUGUAUCAAUUUAAACAAUCUUGUUUCAAUGGGCAUACAGGGUAUUUUCUAGUUUUUUUUUCCUCUUAGAAAAUAAUACUUGCGAUGACUUUCCUUGUAGCUCAGACUUUUUCACGUCUGUUGUUAUCUCUUUGGGAAUGCUGAAUACAUACAUUUCGAGAAGGAAAUGACUGUUAAACUCUUAAGACUUCAGGUUCAUAUUGCUAAACUGCCCAGCAGGGAGGGAUUUUUUCAAUUAGUGUUCUCACUGGUGAGGCAAACCUGAUGCCUUCCCCUCUUCCUCAGAACCGGCUUUAUCACAUUGAAAACCUUUGCUCCUCCGACGGAUCGAGUCUGCUUUCCCUCUGGAUGUGAGCAUUGCUUUGUCUGCUGGUGACUGAACAUCUCUACCUUGUGUCAAUUGGCCAUUUGUGGUGUGUGUGUGUGUGCGUGUGUGUGUGUGUGUGUGUGUAUGAUUUUCUAAUUCCUAGUCAUUUUUCUAUUGAUUGUUUUGCAAAAGCCAUUUACAUCUUAAGGAUAUUGAUAAUCUUUUGUUAUAUUUGAUGCAAAUAUUUUUUUCCAGUUUAUAGGUUGCCUUUUAAUUUUGUGUUUCAGGUAGAUAAAAGUUAAACGAUUUUCUUAGGUUAGUUUAUCACUGUGGUUUCUGAACUUGUUAUGUGUAGAUCUUUUCCACCCCAAGAGUACAUAAAUAUUAAUCCAUACUUUCUUAUGGAACUUGUAUGGUUUCGUUUUUUACAUUUAAACCUUCUUCCCCGUGGUGUGUGUUGUGGAAUCUGUGUUUGUGUGAGGAGGGGCAUGGUGCUCUCAGAACCCACCUCCUGUGGCCAGAGAGCCCUGUCCUGUGAGGGUGGUUGUCACAGUGGCAGGGUUCAAUUCAGAAGACCUUGAGGGCAGGCUGAUGUUUCCUGAAUGGGCCCCUGGUUGUUGCUUGUCCCUGACUCUCCAUUUCCCCAUCUGAGUGGAUUUGGACCUAAUAGGGCACUGGAGCUGGUUCGAAUCCUGACUGGACUACUUGGCAACUUUAUGUCUGGGAGCAAGUUACUUAACCUCCCCAAGCCUGUGUCUGUGAAAUGCGGGUAAAUGAAUGUAGAUGUUUGGCAGCAGCUACUCCUUGUUGAGCUCUCACAGUGAACUCUCCUGCCUCUGCCCUCCUUCCCCGCCUCCCCUGGUGCCUAGCGUCAGGUCUAGCCACUUCCUCCUGGGCCCCUCUCCCUUUUCUGUGGCUGGCUGCCUGCCCGCCUGGCGCUGGACCUUUCAUGUAACGGGAAUCAGCAUGUAUAUUCUGGUCUGGUCUGUUUCUACACUUAAUUUUGUUUCCAGUAGUAUUUCCCUGUACCGGCAGAGUUCACAAACACAUUUGAAGAGGCUUUUUCUCAGGAUUCUUAACCUUCCCAAAGGAAGUCCCAUGGAUGGGUUUCUAGAAGUCUAUAAAUGCUCUGAAAUUGUAUUUUUCUGUGGAAAGCAUAACUUUCAUCUGCUUGUUCGUGCUCAAAAAAGAUCAUGAAUGAAUGAUUGCAUGAUUUUAUGCCAUUGUGCUUAUACUAAAGGAUAUGUAGCCCAUCUCUUGAGCUGUUAAACUGUUUUGACUACUUUAAAUCGUGCAGCUGUGAGCAUCUCUGUAAAUUUAGUGUACACAUGUAUCCCCUGGAGUGGCAUUGCCUCGGCAGUGAGCACUUAUGGUUUUAUAACUCUCUUCACAGACUCAAAUGACUCCAGAAAGCUACACUUCCUGUUGUGAGUAUAUGAUAUCCAUUUCCCUACAUAGCCACUAACAUCAGGUUUUUACAAUUUUAUUUAUUUCUUGCUACUUUAAGAAAUUUUUGUGGUGAAAUACAUAUAAUAGAAGUUGACUAUCUGAAUCAUUUUUAAGUAUACAUUCAGUAGUGUUAAGUAUGUCGCCAUUGUUGUACAACCAAUCUCCAGAACUUUUUCAUCUUGCAAAACAAACUCUGUACCCAUUAAAUAACAUUAAACAUUCCAUUCCCUCCAGCCUCAGCAACCCCAUUCUACUUUCUGUUUCUGUGAGUUUGACUAUUCCAAGCACUUCAUAUCAGUUAAAUCAUGAAGUAUUUGUCUGUCUGUGACUGGCUUAUUUCUCUGAGCACAGUGUCCUCGAGAUGCGUCUAUGUUGUAGCAUAUGUCAGAAUUUCCUUCCUUUUUAAAAGAUCCAAAUAAUAUUCUUAUUUUAUAUCUUUUUUUUAUCCAUUCAUCCAUUAGUGGACACUUGGGUUGCUUUUGGCUAUUGUAAAUAAUGGUGCUAUGUACAAAUAUCUAUAUUAUUGUAUUUACAAGUAUAAUGCUGUAAUGUACACACAUCUUUUUGAGAUCCUACCUUCAGUUCUUUUGAGUAUAUAGCCAGAAGUGGUAUUACUAAAUCUUACGAUAUUUCUAUUUUUAAUUUAUUGAGGAACCACUGUAGUUUUUCAUAGCAACUGCACCAUUUUACGUUCUCACCAAGAGUGCACAAGGGUUCCGAGGUUCCCACAUCCUCCCCAACACUUGUUAUUUUCUGCUUUUUUUAGAUUGCAGCCAUCAUAGUGGGUGUGAGGUGACAUUUCAUUGUGGUUUUGAUUUGCAUUUCCCUAAUGAGGAGUGAUGCUGAGCAUCUUUUCAUAUGCUUACUGGUCAUUUGUAUGUUGUCUUUGGAAAAAUGUCUAUUCAAGUCCUUUGACUAUUUUAAAAAUUGGGUUAUUAGAGUUAUCGUUGUUGUUGACUUGUAGGAGUUUCUUUCUAUAUUCUGGAUAUUAAUCCCCUAUCAGAUAUAUGAUUUGCAAAUAUCUUCUCUUAUUCCAUAAGGUUACUUUUUCACUUUGUUGAUUGUGUUCUUUGAUGUAUAGAAGUUUUUAGUUUUGAAAUAGUCUAAUUUAUCUGUUUUUACUUUUGUGGUCUGUGCUUUUGGUGUCAUAUCCAAGAAAUCCUUGCCAAAUCCAACGUUAUAAGGUACUUUUAAGGUAUUUUAGUUGUCUUAGUCUAUAUUUCUGUACUCACCUUUCUUUAUCCACUCAUCAGUUGAUGGGCAUGUAGGUUGGUUCCAUAUCUUUGCAAUUCUGAAUUGUGCUAUGAUCAGGUGUCUUUUUAGUAUAAUGAUUUACUCUCCUUUGGGUAGAUACCCAGUAGUGGGAUUGCUGGAUCGAAUGGUUUUUAUAAUUUUCUAUUUUACCACAGUUUCUCUCUGCAUUUUUCCUCUUUGACCACUAACCAUGUGAAAUUCUCAUAUUGACCUUUAUAAUGAUCAUGAACUCUUAGUAUCAUUGGGAAGGCCACAUUUGCCACUUAUGAUUGUAAACCUUAUCCUCCAUUUUUCCUGUUAUUGUUGGUGCAAAAAGCACCUAUUAUACCAGGACUUUAAAAAUCAGUCUGAUAAGUCUUUGAUAAGUCUAAUAAUAAUAACUGAUAAGUCCAUUGAAUUUGCUUCUGAUUACUUUUUCUUUAGUAGCUAAACAUGUAUGUACUCCUAUGAUUACAAUGAACACUCCUCUCCAUUUAAAUUAAUUAUUUACAUUGAUGAAAUAGCAAAAUGUUAAUGACUAAAUACUGUCUUGGUUUUUUCGUUCCAGGUCAGUCAAUAUUAACUUCUUAUAAUUUUCUUUUUUUUCUUUAUGUGUGUGUGUGUGUGUAUAUAUAUAUAUAUUUAAUUUCAAUGGCUUUUGGGGUACAAAUGGCUUUUGGUCAUAUAUAUGAGUUCUACAGUAGUGAAGUCUGAGAUUUUACUACACCUUCCACUUAUGUGGUCCCACACCACCCGCCUCCCCUGCCGCCUCCUGCCACCCCCUAGGCCAAGGUAAUAAUCAUCCUGAAUCCUGGGUUUAUCUCUCACUUGCUUUCUUUUCAUAUAAUUUUGCAAAAGAAUCUGAUCUAAAUGUGUUUUUCAGAGUAUAUAUUUAUAUUUUAGCUGUUCUUAGAGAAAAUUUAUUAUUUUGCAUGUAAUCUUAUGGAACAUUCUCAUUUAAUACCAUGGUAAGAUUCAGCCCUUGCCCAGGGGAUAGUUCAUUUAGUUUGUUUACUGGAUAGAGCUCAUCAUGUGACUAUACCUCAGUUAGUUUAUCAGUUCUCCCAUCCAUGGUGACUAGGUUGCCUCUCAGCCUCUCAACAACACUGUUUCUCAGUGUCCUUGUAGAAGUGAUAUGUGGGUGUUUUCUCCUUACACAGAGUUGAAAGGUGACGACAACAACGUUGGCACUACCAAUCCCCCACCCUCCAGAGGGGUAACCAGUGUUACCAGUUUGCUGUGUUUCCUGCUACACCUCGCCUUAUUCACUUCCAUUUGUAUCUGAAAAACGUGUUGCAUGGUUUCUUUUCUAUAGAAGUGGUAAAAUGCUAUUGUGUCCUGUACAUUAUUGAUUACUUUUUUUCAUUUAACAGUAGGGAGAUGCCUGGGAGUACACAGAGAACUGCCCUCAUUGUUUUCAACUUCUGCACUGUAUGUCUGUGAGUUUAGCCAUUCUGCUGUUAAUGGAAAUUUACAGUAUUCUAAUCUUUUGAUAUUACAAACAGUUCUGUGCGAUCAUCGUCAUACACAACCCCUUGUGCACAAUGCAUGAGUGUUUCUCAGGGUAGGUACCAAGAAGUGAAAUUCCUGGGUCAUAGGGCGUGAGUCCGACAUUUUUCUCCAUUCUGCCCUGUUGCCCUCCAGAGUGGGUGUCCAGCUUUGCAUACCUAAGUAUGAGAGUAUCUGUUGUUCAUAUCCUCUACGACGCUCCAUAUAUGAAACUUAAGUUUCUGCUAGUUGCCAUCUUUGAUCUAUCAUGUAUGCAGUGACCUACUAAGACUGUAAUUGGUACAGUAGAUUCUUGUCAUCUGUGUGUGAAUUUAGCAUUCAUGGGCUUAAUGCUGACAAGGCCCCCAGGGUCCAAGACAUAUAAUCAUGUAUAAUUUUGUCAAGGUAUAAUUUUUUAAAUUGCUUUUGUCAUGUGUCUGCUGGUGAUGCCCAACCCAGUGCUCUGCACCCAGGUCACACUGUGGCUUUGUCCUCUGCUUAUGCCUGCAUUGCAGCAACUGUCCUGAAGAGACCAAAAUUAUGCAGAUUUAGGUAAGUCCAUGGCUAAUGUUAUUAUAUUAUGUGCUAUUGUAAUGGAUGGGGCUGUGGAGUGUAUGAAUUUAUAAAUCACUGGUCUUGUAAUUAAAAUUCAAACACUAUAGAAAAAGGCCAUGUAGAAGAUAAAAGUUCCUCUAUAAUCCCGGACCCCUAAGAUAACUACUAAUGACAACUUCAUUUAUAUUCCUUCAGACAUUUUCUGGCUGUGGAUGUACUAAAAUGUAUCCUAUUAUUCUCUGCCCUAAAAUGGAAUCAUACAAGGUGUACUGUUAUUUUUAUGGCUCUAUAACAUGUCAUAUUGUACGUGUUGGUAUGGUCAUUUUAACCAUUUUUCUAGUGAUGGCUUUGAGGUUAUUUGCAGUUUCCUAGCCAUCUCAAAGUGUGCUGCGGGGAUCUCUUUUGCAUCCCUCUGGGUGCAGAGCUGAGGCACCCAGAGGCAGUGUCCAGAGGAGGCAGCAUCUGUAGGUGUCUUCACCUGCUCUGGCUCUUGGCACAUCUGGUUGGUGACACUGUUUUGUGAGAUGGGUUGAAAGCACGUGCUGCCAAAAUAGAAUAAUGUUGGUCCUCUCCUCAUGUGCCGUGGAACUGGGGUAAAACUGCGUAGUGGCUGCAGCUGCCUGUCCAUACCGGAAUCGAGUAUAACACGGUGCCUGGCUUAGCACAAAACAGUAGUGGGUCCUGCAGGCCCCAGAGUCUAAUUCCUGGUAUUCUUUCCCCUACACAGAUUAAAUAAACCAAAAACAAACUAUUCUAGGAAAGCGUCUGUGACAUUUGUAAAAAGUGGUAUUUAAUGAUCUUUUAUUCACUUGUCUGUUUAGUUUGUUGAAAUCUUAAGUGGCAUCCUGGUCUGGGAAGGAGUGCUGUCUGCGCCUGCCCUCCGCUGGGCACAGCGUGGCUGCUUCAGGGGCUAAGCACACACUUUCUGUCUUCUAAAGGGCCGCCACAUGCCAGGAGCUCAGGUGUGAGCCCGGCUCUGGCUCUUACCUCAUAGGGUCACUCAUAGGGGCACAGGGAGCAGAACAUUGUACACAGCGAGGCACCACCCGGCUUGGCAUCUGCCUCGGUGGACUUACUACCUCUAGAAGGAAAUACCUGAGUUCCUCUGGCCUCAGCUCCUAGAGUGACUGGUGUGCUGUCCCUGUUACUCUUCUGUCAAGGUGACAACUGUGUGACCCAUCAUCUGUGUGUCAAAGCAAGGCCCUGCCUGGGCCUCUGCUCCUGUGCUGACCCCAAAGGCAAAUGCUUUGCUAGUUUCCUUCCAGUUAAUUUCACCUAUGAAUAGAUGUGUGAAAACUGUUCAAAGCCAUACCUGCACAUGUUUGAACUUCAAACCCUGUGGGUGAUUCAGUGGCAUCUUUCUCUAACCCCCAGCCUCCCUUCCCACAGAGGCCACCGUCAUGGCCAGUUGCUGCAGUUUCUUUCCAGAGAACCUGUGUAUGUGUAAAGCUGUACAGGCGUGGGUACACCACACAGCCUGUCUUGCACUGUGGACUGUUGAGUUACUAGUACAUCUAGGUAAGCACCGCAUAUCUGUAUUCAUGUCUGCCUUGGUCUUUUCAACAUCUGUGUGGUAGCCGUGUUUGAAUUACCCAUUCCCUUUUUGGGGAACCAUUAAGUUGUUUCAGCAAUUUUUACUGUAGAUAAGGCUAUACCGCAUAUCUGUGUACAUGGGUUUUUAUGUACAUGGGCAAGUAUAUCUGUGAGAGAAAAGUUUCCUCAGGAGGAAUUCUGGGCACAGCAUGUGUAAAUUUCUAAAUAUGAUGGACACCCCCAGCUUCCACCUCAAGGAGGUUGGUCCCAUUGACAUUUCCCCACACCUUCACCCAGGCUGUGCCCUUAAACUUGGUUAUUUGUCAAUGUGAGAAGUGGAAAAUAGUAUUUAAUUGUAGUUUGGAUUUGUAUUUCUAUUGGGUUGUAUACUUACUGAUUAAUAAUAAGAGCUCUUUACAUAUUAAGGAAAUUAACCCUUUUCAAAUACAUUCCUAUUUCUCACUAAUCUUUAAGUUUUAUUGUAAUAUUUUGCUCUUUAGUUUAUAUAUAUAUGUAUAUAUAUAUAUAUGUAUAUAUAUAUAUAUACAUAUAUAUAUACAUAUAUAUAUACUAAUUUUCUUUUAUGGUUCCUGGAUUUUGUGAGUAGUUUGAAAAGGCUAAUCCAGCUGAAGAUUUUGUUGUUGUUGUUAAACCCCAUGUUUUCUCCUAACUCUUUUUAUUUUUAUUUUGGAGGACUCUAUCUAGACUUAAUUUUAGCAUAACAAGUGACAGGGUUAGUUAGCCUGUUGUCCUUACACCAUUUUCUGGCUAAUACAGCUAUUAACUAUUGAUCUGUCUAUUCACGUGCCAGUUCCUAAUGGUUUUACAUAGUGUAAUCUGCACUUCAAAAUAGCGAAGGGAAGCCCUACCUCAUUAUUCUACUUUUCCAGAAUUCUCCUGGCUAUUCCAGGCUGCAUGUUUACCUUAACCUUCCCUGUGAUGUCUUCAUGCCGUUGUCUUCUUAUGCAAGAAUAAGGUACGUCUUUCCAUCCACUCACGUCUAUUUAAUUUGACUUUGCAUUACACAGAAAGCUGGUCUUGGUCUGUCUACCUCGGCAUCUAGUUGUCCUCACUGCCCCCUAGCCGACCCCACCCCAUCUGACUGACUACCCCAUCACAGAGUACUUUUAUUUACGUUUUGCUCUGCCUAAUGGUUACUUGAUACUGUCACGCCGACAGUGUCCAGUUCAGUGGUCUUUGCAGUUGAAAUGCUCCCGUACACACUGUCUUGUUAAAAAUGCCAGUAAGUUCAUACAAACCCAGCUUGCACCCAAGGUCACAUUCAGAGAGCGUAGGGCUGGGAUGGGUUGUUUUCCAAGCUUCUGCCACUGUGUGGCUAGCUCUUCCCACUGGGAAGUUCUGUGUACCCGGAAUGUCGGAGUGGAGUCCUGUUCUAGUGUCCAGCACCUGACCCUGUGCCCAACCCCUCAACAGCCUAUUCCUGCUGUCCACAGCCUGCUGGAACUUUUUACAAAAUAUGUUGCCAUGCUGGACCCUGGGCACUGGACAUAAGCCCCCUGGCAGCCUUUUUCAUGUCACCCAAAGGGGUAAUUGUCCUACUGGUGGUCUGUAAGAUGAGUUAGGGUGACUUGCUAAUAGACAUUGUAAAUCUUAAUAUUUAUGUAUGUAUUUUAUUAUUACCGGUUUUCCAUUUAUGAUGGUAAUAUUGUUUCUUCUAAGAAUAUUUAUUUUUCCUUCUAAAUAUUGAGAUAAAAUUCAUGCUUUUGAAAUGUUCUAUUCAGUGGCUUUUAGUAUAUUUGCUAUGUUGUGCAACCAUCGACACUAUCCAUUUCUAGAACUUUUUCGUCAUCCCAAACAGACGCUCUGUAUUCAUAAAAAAAUAACUUCCUACCUGUCUCUCCCCCUAGUCUUUGGUAACCUUUGUUAUACUGGUAAACUUUGUUGUGCUCUCUGUCUGUGUGAAUUUGCCUAUUCUAGGGGCCUCAUAUAAGUGUAAUCAUACAGUAUUUGUCUUUUUGGGUCUGUCUGAUUUCACUUAGCGGGUUUUCAGGGUUCAUUCAUGUUGCAGCAUAUAACAGUACUGCGUUCCUUUUUCUGGCUGAAUAAUAUUCCACUGUAUGGAUAGACCCCAUUUUGUUUAUUCACACAUCAUUUGGACAUUUGGAUUAUUUCUGGUUUUUGGCUAUUAUGAACAAUGGUGCUAUGAACAGUUGCGUACAAGUUUUUGUGUGAACAUAUGUUUUCAAUUCUCUCAUUAUAUACCUAGGAGUAGAAUUACUGGGUCAUAUGGUAACUGUAUAUUUUUGAGGAACUGCCAAACUAUUUUCCCACGUCCAUGCACCAUUUCACAUUCCCACCAGUAAGUAAGAGGGUUCCAAUUUCUGCGCAUUCUUGCCAACACUAGUUAUUAUCUGACUUUCUGGUUAUAAUCAUUCUAAUGAGUGUGAAGUAGCCUCUGGUGUCAUUUGGAUUUGCAUUUCUCUGAUGAGUGAUGCUAUCAAGCACCUUUGCUGGUGCUGUUGGCCAUAUGUGUAUGUUCCCUGGAGAAGUGUCUGUGCUGAGCCUUGGCCCACUUUUUAAUUAGGCGUUUGUCUUUUUAUUACUGAGUUGUAAGAGUUCUUUAUAUAUUCUGGAUUCUAGACCCUUAUCAGAUACAUGGUUUGCAAAUAUUUUCUCCCAUUCUGUGGGUUGUGUUUUCACUUUAUCGAUAAUGUCCUUAGACAUAUAAUAAAUUUGUAUUUUAAAAGUGACUUGAUUUGGCUGUGCAAGGUGGCUCACGCUUGUAAUCCCAGCACUUUGGGAGACUGAGGUGGGUGGAUCAUAUGAGGAGGCUAGGAGUUCGAGGUCAGCCUGGCCAGCAUAGCGAAAACUUGUCUCUACUAAAAAUACAAAAAUUAGUCAGGCAUGGUGGUGCACGUCUGUAAUACCAGCUUCUCAGGAGGCUGAGGCACGAGGAUCACUUGAACCCAGGAGGAGGAGGUUGCAGUGAGCUGAGAUCAUGCCAGGGCAACAGAAUGAGACUUUGUUUAAAAAAAAAAAAAAGUGACUUGAUUUAAGGGAAAAAAUGACUGGCUAUAUUCAGUCAGAUAUGGCAAAAAGUCUCAAGGUGUUAAUGUGAAUGAUUAAGGUCUUGGGGGGGGUGUCCCCUAUCAGACUACAGGUGUUUAGAGGCACAGAAAAAGGUGCAGUUGGGUUCUUAAUGUGAAAUGAUGAGAAGCACAACUCCAGUGUGUCUCUUUGUGUAGAAUGUCAGCAGACACCCCCUGCUAGAUGUGCUGGAUCAUGGGAAAGCAUUUCCAUUUGUUACUAGAUUGUUCAGAAGUUUUAAUUUAUGAUGGGUGUGGUGGCUCAUGCCUGUAGUCCCAGCACUGUGGGAGGCUGAGGCAGGAGGAUCAUCUGAGGCCAAGAGUUCAAGAUCAGCCUGGGCAACAUAGUGAUACCCUAUCUCUUAAAAAAGAAGAAGUUUUUAAAUUUGAAAUAAUAAUAGGUACUGGAUUUAUGCAAAUGUCUUUUCUGCGUCUUUUGAGAUGAGUAUCAGGUUUUUUUUUUUCCUUUUAUCAUCUGAUGAUGAACUUAAUGUUUCCAUUUGUAUUAAUGGAAUACUAAGUCCCUCUGUGAUUUCUGAACCAAGCUAUUCCUAGGCCUGAGUUUUAUUUUGUUGACACAGAAAUAAAUUAGAAGGCCAAGCGUGGUGGCAUGUGCCUGUAGUCCUAGUUGCUGAGGUAAGAGGAUUGCUUGAGCCCAGGAGUUCAAGGCUGCAGCAAGCUUUGAUUGCGCCACUGCACUCCAGCCUUGGCGACAGACUAAGACGCUGUCUCAAAAAAAAACAAAAACGACAAAAAAAAAACAAAACAGAAAAAAUAAACUAAGGCAAUGACAGUCCCUGGCAAAUGCUGGGAGGGAGGCAGCAGUGGUCAGGGAAGGUAACCCUGAAGCAGGACUUGUAAAGCAAAUAAGAUUGGGAGGCCAAGGUGGGUGGAUCACGAGGUCAGGAGUUCGAGACCAGCCUGGCCAACAUAGUGAAACCCCGUCUUUACUAAAAAUACAAAAAAAUUAGCCAGGUGUGGUGGUGGGUGCCUGUAGUCCCAGCUACUUGGGAGGCUGAGGCAGGAGAAUCUCGAACCCAGGAGGCGGAGGUUACAGUCAGCUGAGACCGCACCAUUGCACUCCAGCCUGGGUGACAGAGCAAGAUUCCGUCUCAAAAAAAAAAAAAAAAAAAAAACCAAGAAGAAAAGGAAUGAAUUAGAACUUCUUCUGCUUGGACUUAAGGGCAUCAUCAGGCAGGUUUUGGGUAGGAUAGCAGGGGAGGCAGAGACAUAGUCGGGGUCAGUGGUCAUGAGUGUGGCUUUGAGCCCAAAAACUUGGUUUCUGUUCCCUACUUUGCCACUCAGUAGUGCAUGACUUUGGCCAAAUUUCUUAAAUUCAUGAAGCAAGUUUCCGGGUGAAUGAAAUGGGGAUAAAAAUAGUGUUCAAACCUAUCCGUUGGUUUGUGUGAAACUGAAAUGAAUAGUAUCGUGCAGGUACUUGUGAGCAAGGGGAGCUGCUGUUUCCUGUCCCUUUAUGAUGGGAAAUAUCUAGACAAGUUCCCAACCCUCUGCACUGCAGGCUGCAUGGCACGGAGGGUCUUGUAACACCAGCUGGGGCUGGCCUUCUUUUAGGAGCUUCAGUGGUUCUGAAAACUUUUAUUUGUUUGUUUGUUUUAGUAGAUGUGGGGUCUUUCUGUGUUGCCCGGACUGGUCUCAAACUUCUGGACUCAAGUGAUCCUCCCCCGCUCAACCUCCCAAAGUGUUGGGAUUACAGGUGUGAGCCACUGUGCCCAGCCUUGAAAACUUUUUCAGGUUCUUCCAGGGUUACUGGGCUAUUAAAUAUUUCUAUUUCAUUAUAAGUCAGUUUUUCAAAGUUAUAUUAUCUUAAUUACCUUUUUUAUAUGUAUUAGUGUAGAGUAGCAUUUUAUAUUUUGAUAUCCUCCUUAUGCAUAGUUUUUCACUUUUUAUUCCUAGUUUUUCGUUUUUAAUAAGACUUUCAAGAAAUUUAUUUUAUUGGCCUUUUGAAAAAAGCAGCUUUAGAUAAAGUAAGCAGUUCUGCUUUCAUUUUAUAAUUUAUUUCUACUUUUGUUUCAUUAAUCUUUUCCUCCGGCAUGCCUUGGAUUUUGUUGUGUUACUCUUUUUCUAGAGGCUCGCAUUGUGUGUCUGGUUCACUUAUGAUCACGCUUGCCUACUUUUAAGAAUGGAAGAGGGGAGGUGGAGGGUGGCUGCACAGUCGAGGGUGUGAGGCAGUCUUGCUCUAGCCCCACCAUGCCCUCAGCCCGCUGUGGCCACGCUGGUUCCUCAAUUGCUGGGGCGUGCAGUGUCUGUAAGGGAGGCUACUGAUGCCAUCCGAGGAAGAUGUAAGGUUUCGUGUGGGCAGCGAGAGCCUAGCAGGCAUGUGGGGUGCCCAGCAAAGGGUAACAGUGGACAGUUGUUGCCUCAUUCCACAGAGUUUUGAUUUUUUUUUUUUUUUUAAUGGUCACUCCAUCAACAUCCCCCAUGGCCAGAGCCUGAGCUGGUCCCCAGAGACACAGGCAUUCAGCUGACAGCCUCGCCUUCACGCUGCUGCUGUUCUCAUGGGGGACAGGCCUCAGGUGGCAAUGCACAAAUCAUUAGUUAAGGGCAGUUGUGACAGUUACCAAGGAGUGUAGUCCCCCGCCCCCCGCCCAGUGAAAACAGCCCUAACCAGGGGUGGGGACCUUUGGGCUCUGACCCGAAGGGUAGGAGAAGCUGGAAGGACAGCAUUCCUGUCUGCGAAGGCAGGAGCAAAGCUGCCAGGCUAUGAAGGAAAUGGCUGGAGCCUGAAGUCAUGCAAGCUGGGGCUGGCAGGGACAGGGCCAACUUCCAGGCCUGGGGGCCACCAUGAGGAUUCAGGACGUGACCCCCAGGGCACAUGAAGGCCUUCCAUCUGUAUUUAAGAAAAGACUUUAUCAGACGAGUAUGGUGGCUCACGCCUGAAUCUUAGCACUUUGGGAGGCUGAGGCAGGUGGAUCACGAGGUCAGGAGUUCAAUACCAGCCUGGCCAAUAUGGUAAAACCCCAUCUCUACUAAAACUACAAAAAUUAGCCAGGCAUGGUGGCGCACGCCUGUAGUCCCAGCUACUCGGGAGGCUGAGGCAGAAGAAUCACUUGAACCCGGGAGGUGGAGGUUACAGUGAGCCAAGAUCGCGCCACUACACUCCAGCCUGGGUGACAGAGUGAGACUCCGUCUCAAAAAAACCAAAAGACUUUAUCUUAUUUCCUAUAUGUUUGUGGUUUCAGUCCUGAUGUAUAAUUUGACCCUAGUUAGAAUGGUUAUCUGAGGAAGUGGCCUGUACGAUUUCUGCUUUUUUAAAUGUGUGGCUCCCUUUCUUCAUUGAUUAACGUAUGAUUAUUUUUAUAAAUGUUCCAUGGCAGUGGGAAGGGAUUCUCUGUCACAUUCCACAUCUGGAUCAGUUCCUCCCCAUUUUGUUGGUCAAAUCCGAUCUGCCAUAUCCUGUGUAAUGACAAGUGAGUUGCAUUCUCACCGUCACUCCUGGGGUCUCUCCGCUUCCCCUGAGCUGGCUCAGCAGUCUGCUCCAUGUGUUUUGAUGCAGGGUGACCCAUUGGUAUUCCCGACACUAACGCCCCCGUCUGUGGACUGCUUGCUGCUUGGGCUUCACUGUGUCUGGUGUUGACAGUGCAGACCUAAAGGUGUGCACACAUGUGCACACACACUCCGCUGUCUUCUUGUUUGCACUGGACUUAAAUAUCUAUGAGGGUUAUUUUCAACUGCUGAAUUUGGAAUGAUUUUUAUAUCUUUUCUGCUUUCUGCCCAUGUACAUGUGUUUAUUUUACACUGUUGUGAUUGGUAGUUACUAUGUGGGGACACAAUUACUUGGGCUGAAAUAAUCCACCUGUUGUGGUUGGGGUCCUCUGGGGCAUUCCAGGGUGAGAGGUUGUCACUGCCACCUGGGCCAUGUGGGCCGGCACCAGCAUUUUGUGGUUACGAAUUCUACAGUCACAAAUAUCUUUGGGCAAAUCCCCUUCUAUACCUCAAGGCAGCUUUUGGUUUGCAACCCCACUGGCCAGAGGGAAGGGCCAGUCACUUGGCUCUCUCACUGCCCUGCGCCCCAGAUGGUUCUAGGGCUGCUGUUUUCCCUUGGCCCUGCCAACACCACUGUUUUUACUUCUGCUCAUUGGCUGAGUGCAGUGGUUCCUGGAAGCCAGUGGCACGUUUCCCCGCGUAGCUCGCUUAUCCCACAGCACACACCCAAGGGUUCUGUUGCUAACACGCUGAAUUAAUUCUUUGCUCAUCUUACAGAGUGUGUUUUGACUGCCCCCAUUUCUGAGGCCUUGUAAGGCCAGAGCUUUGUUGCUUCAUCGGCAGGUUGGGACUUAGAUGGCCGUGAAUGUUUCCUCUCUGCUGCUGCAGUAAGUAAGUGCCCGCACCAUAGUGUGUUUGGAGGCUGAAGUUGAAGCGAGGCUGUGAGGGGAGAUGGACGUGUGAGGAGGGAUGAUGGGGCUUGAGCAAAGUGGGGGAGGGGGCAAAGGCAGUUGGCCCAACACAUUCCCCACCCCUUUGAGAGGUCUGAGGCCUGCAGACCUGGCUCGGAGCCCACCUGGUAGUCCUCAGACUGUGUGUGUGUGUGUGUGUGUGUGUGUGUGUGUGUGUGUGUGUGUGUGUGUGUGUGUGUAAAAGAGAGAAGUUGUGGAGAAAUGGGGGGCUGAUUCUGCUCAGAUUCAUCAGGAUGAGUAGAAGGCACCCAGCUCUCACCCUGGCCUGACAUGUGUGUCCCUGAGCAGGUUACAGUCCUCUCUGAGCCUCUGCUUCCCAUCUGGACCCUGCUGGGCAGGGCUUCUGAGCUCCUUAGCACUAGCAGGAGGGGCUCCAGGGGCCCUCCCUCCAUGGCAGCCAGGACAGGACUCUCAAAUGAGGACAGCAGAGCUCGUGGGGGGCUCCCACGGACCCGCCGUGGGCCCAGGGGAGGCAGAGCCUGAGCCAACAGCAGUGGUGCUGUGGACCGUGGAUCCUGAGGGUGGCCUGGGGCAAGUACCGGCUGAGGGUCCAGGUGGGCUUUGUGUACCUUUGGGUCCUGGGGCCCUGGUGACUUGGACUCCAGGUUAGAGUCAAGUGACAGGAGAAAGGCUGGUGGGGCCCUGUGCUUCCGACUUCAUUUCGAGUGAUGGCAGUUCCCAGGAAGGAAUCCACAGCUGACGGUGGCUGACAGAUCAGAGAAUGGAAGGCGAGGCAGGCGGGCGUCUGCGUGACCUCAGGUGCUUGGGGCCCAGCAGACCCAGAGAACCAUUUCCACUAGGCCAGGGUGCCGGAAGUGUCCACAGGUCUUAGAUUCCCUGUUCAGAUGAAAAGAUUUGUGCCUUUAAUGAUAAAAGUGAUCUGCAUAGAGUCAAAAAUUCAAGCCAUGGGUAUAAAAUGCAAGUAAAAUCCCUGCCCUCACCUAUCCCACCCUACUACACAGAGAUGUCCUCUCGAGUUUCCUAGACUCACUCUGGAAAUUUCUGUAUACACACAGAAGCUUGUGCCUCUGCUCGUGAAGGCAGAGGGAGGGAGAGCUGAAGGGCCAGCACCUUCUCACCUGUGGGCCCCCUCAGUGCUCGGUCCCAGAGCAUGCAGGACUGUGCCUCGUGUUCAGUUUGCUGGUCUGACUUCAUGCUCCUUGGGCAGGAUAUGCAUGUGCCAUGCUAGGAGACAUGUGGAUGUGAAGCUGGGGGACAAUGUCCCCUGGCUAUGCCUUUACAAGGGAAGUAAGGAAGGUAGGAGGUGAGCCUGGGAG